Molecule: non-coding RNA, 701 nt
Organism: Pelobates cultripes (western spadefoot toad)
Lineage: Eukaryota; Metazoa; Chordata; Amphibia; Anura; Pelobatidae
Source: the annotation of a GenBank genome assembly
GUUUUAAGUCUAUGUAUUCAAAAUCCCUCCCUCUGUCUAAGUUUUGUGACAAUAUCACCCCCUCUUACAUCCAAGUUGACCUGUUCGAUAAUUGGCCAAGACAAACUUUGGGACAUUUAUUGCAAUGUGUGGGAACUGAAUGACUUUGAAUCCCUUUUCUAAUAUUAUUCAGAUGUUCCAAAAAAUGCACUUUGGCUUUUGUCCUGUCCUCCCCACGUACUGUGCACCACACAUCAGAAGAUACACUACAUUAAUGGAGGAGCAAGUAACCCCUCCCUGAAUCUUAAAUUUUUCUCCUGUAUUUGUGCUAGAAAAUGUGUGGGUGUGGGGAGGUAUAAAUUUACAAGCUUUGCAUUUCCCACAGGUAUAAAAUCCCCUUCUUGUGCUAUUAGUUGUGAUGUAAUUUUUAAGUUGAAAUAGAUUGGGUGUAAGAUGGGUGGAAAGAUUUCUCCUUUUCCUGUAAAUUAUUUUUGGAAUGUUUGGCAGUUGUCGUCCUAGGAAUUCAUCAUGUUGUAAUAUAGACCAAUGUUUUUUAAAGAUUUAAUUGAUAGAGAAAGCCUUAGAAUUUUACUGUGUGUUGAACGAGAAAUCAAAUUGAUUUUUUAGGGUGGGCAUCUGUUUGGGCUUAUCAAUAAAGAGUUCUCCUCUACCAUUGUCUCCUAUUUAAUUUAUUUUUUUGAACCUCCACUUUUAGAUUUUCU